This 120-nucleotide ribosomal RNA is filed under the name uncultured bacterium. Its description in RNAcentral is "partial 16S ribosomal RNA". It matches the Rfam family "Bacterial small subunit ribosomal RNA", at positions 28 to 140 of the family's 1533-position model. The record is from RNAcentral.
GAUGAACGCUAGCGGCAGGCUUAAUACAUGCAAGUCGAGGGGCAGCAGGACUGUAGCAAUACAGUUGCUGGCGACCGGCAAACGGGUGCGGAACACGUACGCAACCUUCCUUUAAGUGAG